UUAAAGUGGUACGCGAGCUGGGUUUAGAACGUCGUGAGACAGUUCGGUCCCUAUCUGCCGUGGGCGCUGGAGAACUGAGGGGGGCUGCUCCUAGUACGAGAGGACCGGAGUGGACGCAUCACUGGUGUUCGGGUUGUCAUGCCAAUGGCACUGCCCGGUAGCUAAAUGCGGAAGAGAUAAGUGCUGAAAGCAUCUAAGCACGAAACUUGCCCCGAGAUGAGUUCUCCCUGACUCCUUGAGAGUCCUGAAGGAACGUUGAAGACGACGACGUUGAUAGGCCGGGUGUGUAAGCGCAGCGAUGCGUUGAGCUAACCGGUACUAAUGAACCGUGAGGCUUAACCUUACAACGCCGAAG
RNAcentral lists this ribosomal RNA (355 nucleotides) under Escherichia sp. E4930. RNAcentral describes it as "partial 23S ribosomal RNA". It matches the Rfam family "Bacterial large subunit ribosomal RNA", at positions 2588 to 2925 of the family's 2925-position model. The record is from RNAcentral. Lineage: Bacteria; Pseudomonadati; Pseudomonadota; Gammaproteobacteria; Enterobacterales; Enterobacteriaceae.